CAGCAGCCGCGGUAAUACGGAGGAUCCGAGCGUUAUCCGGAUUUAUUGGGUUUGAAGGGAGCGUAGGCGGGUUGUUAAGUCAGUUGUGAAAGUUUGCGGCUCAACCGUAAAAUUGCAGUUGAUACUGGCGACCUUGAGUGCAACAGAGGUAGGCGGAAUUCGUGGUGUAGCGGUGAAAUGCUUAGAUAUCACGAAGAACUCCGAUUGCGAAGGCAGCUUACUGGAUUGUAACUGACGCUGAUGCUCGAAAGUGUGGGUAUCAAACAGGAUUAGAUACCCUGGUAGUCCACACAGUAAACGAUGAAUACUCGCUGUUUGCGAUAUACAGUAAGCGGCCAAGCGAAAGCGUUAAGUAUUCCACCUGGGGAGU
This 370-nucleotide ribosomal RNA is filed under the name uncultured bacterium. RNAcentral describes it as "bacterial SSU rRNA". It matches the Rfam family "Bacterial small subunit ribosomal RNA", at positions 509 to 881 of the family's 1533-position model. The record is from RNAcentral.